UACGGAGGGUGCAAGCGUUGCUCGGAAUUAUUGGGCGUAAAGGGUAGGUAGGUGGUCUCAUUUGUCUGGGGUGAAAGCCUUGGGCUUAACUCAAGAAGUGCCCCAGAAACGGUGAGACUGGAGUCCUAGAGAGGGUCGUGGAAUUCCCGGUGUAGCGGUGAAAUGCGUAGAGAUCGGGAGGAACACCAGAGGCGAAGGCGGCGACCUGGAUAGGUACUGACACUCAACUACGAAAGCGUGGGGAGCAAACAGG
Molecule: ribosomal RNA, 253 nt
Filed under: uncultured bacterium
Lineage: Bacteria
Description: partial 16S ribosomal RNA
Rfam family: Bacterial small subunit ribosomal RNA
Source: RNAcentral